This 233-nucleotide ribosomal RNA is filed under the name uncultured bacterium. RNAcentral describes it as "partial 16S ribosomal RNA". It matches the Rfam family "Bacterial small subunit ribosomal RNA", at positions 127 to 353 of the family's 1533-position model. The record is from RNAcentral.
UGCCCAUGUGCCCGGGAUAACUUCUGGAAACGGAUGCUAAAACCGGAUAGGUAGCAGACAAGCAUUUGACUGCUAUUAAAGUGGCUAAGGCCAUGAACAUGGAUGGACCUGCGGUGCAUUAGCUAGUUGGUGAGGUAACGGCCCACCAAGGCGACGAUGCAUAGCCGGCCUGAGAGGGCGGACGGCCACAUUGGGACUGAGACACGGCCCAAACUCCUACGGGAGGCAGCAUG